This 68-nucleotide transfer RNA is filed under the name Ictidomys tridecemlineatus (thirteen-lined ground squirrel). RNAcentral describes it as "Spermophilus tridecemlineatus (thirteen-lined ground squirrel) tRNA". It matches the Rfam family "tRNA". Rfam says of the family: Transfer RNA (tRNA) molecules are approximately 80 nucleotides in length. The record is from Rfam by way of RNAcentral. Lineage: Eukaryota; Metazoa; Chordata; Mammalia; Rodentia; Sciuridae.
GUGGUGGCUCAGAGGUAGAGUGCUCGCCUAGCACGUGAGAGGCCCUAGGUUCAAUUCUCAGCACCACA